CUAGAAAAUAACAAGUCGGAUACAGGACGUGAGUAGAGAAUGGACUGAGUUUUGCAGCUUUUAGUGUCUUAAUUUUGAGUGAGGAGUUUAAGUAUUAAUUUUCUGUAGUUUUUUAUUUUAGUUUCUAUUUGUCUUUUUUGUUUUGGUUGCCUUCUAUGUUUUUCGAGGCCGCGUUGCCUCAAGCUCUGUAGUUAAAUUCAUCUGCUAAAUGAAUGAAGCAGGUAGCAUGCUACCUUACUCUCUCAAAAAAAAAAAAAGAAGAAAAUAAUUCUCCAUCACUAACUACGUACGUACCAACUUAAUUACUAUA
RNAcentral lists this long non-coding RNA (310 nucleotides) under Ananas comosus (pineapple). RNAcentral describes it as "long non-coding RNA (ACOM_LNC017286)". The record is from RNAcentral. Lineage: Eukaryota; Viridiplantae; Streptophyta; Magnoliopsida; Poales; Bromeliaceae.